GAAGCCGUGAACCUUUGAUGAUGGACAGAACUGAAAGUUUAACCUGAAAACAGAAAUGUCACUUCAUCAGGUCACAUUUAGAACAGCAGCAGCAUUUACACGAACAAUCUGUGAGGGAUCAUGUUUCUUGGGAGGAUCCUGCACUGAGUGAGCUGAGUCUCAGAGGAUUUUACCCGAGGUCCUCGAUGCUGAGUGGGGGUCCGGAGCCCAUGGGGUUCCUCAGCAUCAGGUCCUG
Molecule: non-coding RNA, 235 nt
Organism: Poecilia reticulata (guppy)
Lineage: Eukaryota; Metazoa; Chordata; Actinopteri; Cyprinodontiformes; Poeciliidae
Source: RefSeq, a predicted model, not a curated record